RNAcentral lists this ribosomal RNA (253 nucleotides) under uncultured bacterium. RNAcentral's name for it is "partial 16S ribosomal RNA". It matches the Rfam family "Bacterial small subunit ribosomal RNA", at positions 524 to 776 of the family's 1533-position model. The record is from RNAcentral.
UACGUAGGGUGCAAGCGUUGUCCGGAAUUAUUGGGCGUAAAGAGCUCGUAGGCGGUCUGUCACGUCGGCUGUGAAAUCCCGAGGCUCAACCUCGGGUCUGCAGUCGAUACGGGCAAACUAGAGUAUUGCAGGGGAGACUGGAAUUCUUGGUGUAGCGGUGAAAUGCGUAGAUAUCAAGAGGAACACCUGAGGCGAAGGCGGGUUGCUAGGCUGACACUGACGCUGAGGCGCGAAAGCCAGGGGAGCAAACGGG